GAUAAGAGAAGAGGACAAGCGAUGUGGAGCAGUGAGAAGCAAAGCUGCCCAGCCAAGUCCAGCAUACAUGCACCUGUGUGAGCUACAACAAUGAACGAUUGUUGUUUAAGGCCUCCGAGCUGUGGGGUAGUUUUUUAUUUAGCAAUAGACAUCAUCAGGGGCUGAGCCAGCACCACCUCCUCUGCCAAGCCCACUUGCCCGGGAGCGCCCAACUCUGCCACUUGGAGGACAGCACAAGUUUGAAGCCAGUGCCAUCACACAGGGCCCUGCAUGCAGAAGGCCCCCCACAUUUGGCACUGGAGGGAGAAGAAUUGGAGAGGCCACCAUCUUCUUGGACUCCCCUCAUUUUCACCAUGAGGCUCACUGCAGACAAAUCAGCUCCACCAGGCAGAGACGAAAGUACAGAAGUGCUCAGUGAAGAGGAAGAAGAAGAUGGAUUUGGCCCUGAAACCCUAAUUCAUUUCUACCUAGAGGACAUUUUUAUUUUGCCUGCAGCAAGGAGAAAGUGAUCCAUUGCAACUGUGAUUCAAGGGUACUGCCUUCCUGCCUUCCUCCUUUCUCUUCUGCUUUAGGAGAGAGAAAGGUUUGAAGAGACAAACUCAUUCUCUAGAAUGUAAAACCAGAGCUCAACAGGAGGAAAAAAAACCUCAUUACAAAUGUCAGAUCAAGGUAGAAUUAAUUUGAAUAUCUGGGUUACCAUAGAGACCAGGGCAUGAAUUGACCCCACUGGCCCCUCAAGUUUUCCCGAAGAUGAUUUCUGGUUCAGAAGGUGGCACCAAAUCCCUGCAAAUGAUUGCUGGUUCGGGGAGGGGAUAUGAAAGAGCCAGAGUGGGAAGGCAGCUCAGGAAAGCUGCGAGAUGUUCAUCGGGUCAAACUGUGUAACUAACUGGUCUUACUGAUUUCGAGAAUAGUGCUCUAUUCAAUUCCUAUUACAUGUUAUUCUUUAUGAUGUGUUUGCACAUUUACUGUUUUACUUGAACUCUCAACAACUCUGCAAGAUAGGUGACGUGGCUAUUAAUAUAUCAAUUUUAUGAAUAAAGAAGUAGAGUUACAGAAAGUUUAAGUGUCUUAUCAAAGUUAUGAAAUGAUUAUUGAAGAGAGGGGACGAGACCUCUUAUCUCCCAACACCAAAUUCAUUCAUCUUUUCACUCUGCCAUACUUCACUGCCAUGGGAUUAUAUGUAAAGGCACUACACCUGAAAAAACCAAUAGUGAAAAAUGGCCCCUUUGUCUCCAUCCUAACUCCCUCCACUCACCUAAUUCUAUGUGGUUCCGGCAAGAAACUGGGGUGAGAAUUUGAAGGGCCCUUAAAUGCCACAUGACAAAAGCUGGGCUGUGGAUGCCCACAAUUGACAGAGGACACAGGUGAAUUCAUCAGUCAUGUAUUCAAGAGGCCUCUAUGGUGCUCUUCUCUGCCCCCAUUGUGCAUUCAGCACCUUUGGGAACACAAGGGAAGCACAGAGAACACACUCCCCCCUGUGCUGAAGCAGCUCACAUGCCUCUAGGAAGAUGAGAUAAGACUUGGGAAACAAUUAAUGGGUGGUCCAAGACAAGAGAUAAUCAAGUCUUAGAUUGUGUGAUUAAAACAUAAAGAACAAUAGGAGUUCACAGAAGAAAUACAUCACUGAUGGAUUCAUGGAGAGGCGGGCUAAGACAGAGAUUUGAAUGACGGUGGGAAUCUGGCCAGGUGAGAAGUAGGAGGACAGUUGAGGUAGAAGAAACUAUCGGUCACAUUGUCUGUGACAGCCGAGUGAACAAAACAAAGCCCUGUGGUCUUACAUUCAGAUCCCGAACACACACACACACUCCAGAUGUCACUUACCAUUUAUGAGUCUGUAAAAUGGGAUAAUAACGGUUACAGCACAGAAUAAUAGUGAGGGUUAAAAGAGAUUAUGUAUGAGGUCAGCUCCUAGCAUAAUGCUCAGCACAGAGGAGAGUCUCCAUACUUUUUAGCUAACCUGAAGAGAAAAGGAGCAUGUCCCGCUACUGCCCAAUUCACAAUUUUUAACCAUGAGACAUAUGCUGUCAUGGAUCUUUGAAAAGAAACAAACCUAGGUAUUUCUUAAGCAUUGAUCCUGGUUUCACACACACACACACACACACACAGCCGGGCAUGGCAUGGUGGCUCAUGCCUAUAAUCCCAGCACUUUGGAAGGCCAAGGUGAGUGGAUCACUUGAGGUCAGGAGUUUGAGACCAGCUGGCCAACAUGGUGAAACCCAGUCUCUACUAAACAUAACAAAAAUUAGCCAGGCAUGGUGAGGUAGGCACUUGUAGUCCCAGCUACUCCAGAGGCUGAGGCACGAGAAAUCGCUUGAACCAGGGAAGCAGAGGUCGCAGUGAGCCGAGAUCAUGCCACUGCACUCCAGCCUGAAUGACAGAGCAAGACUCCAUCUCAAAAAAAACAAAACAAAGCAAAAAACACACAAAAAUGCUUUAAUAGACAAUUGAUAACUUUUGACAAUUGGAUCUAAAAUAGUCUAUAAAUCCUUUUCAGUGAUGAGAGGGAAGUUAUUGUUUAUGGAAAGA
Molecule: long non-coding RNA, 2526 nt
Organism: Papio anubis (olive baboon)
Lineage: Eukaryota; Metazoa; Chordata; Mammalia; Primates; Cercopithecidae
Source: Ensembl